RNAcentral lists this ribosomal RNA (2893 nucleotides) under Escherichia coli. RNAcentral describes it as "bacterial LSU rRNA". It matches the Rfam family "Bacterial large subunit ribosomal RNA". Lineage: Bacteria; Pseudomonadati; Pseudomonadota; Gammaproteobacteria; Enterobacterales; Enterobacteriaceae. The record is from RNAcentral.
ACUAAGCGUACACGGUGGAUGCCCUGGCAGUCAGAGGCGAUGAAGGACGUGCUAAUCUGCGAUAAGCGUCGGUGAGGUGAUAUGAACCGUUAUAACCGGCGAUUUCCGAAUGGGGAAACCCAGUGUGUUUCGACACACUAUCAUUAACUGAAUCCAUAGGUUAAUGAGGCGAACCGGGGGAACUGAAACAUCUAAGUACCCCGAGGAAAAGAAAUCAACCGAGAUUCCCCCAGUAGCGGCGAGCGAACGGGGAGGAGCCCAGAGCCUGAAUCAGUGUGUGUGUUAGUGGAAGCGUCUGGAAAGGCGCGCGAUACAGGGUGACAGCCCCGUACACAAAAAUGCACAUAUUGUGAGCUCGAUGAGUAGGGCGGGACACGUGGUAUCCUGUCUGAAUAUGGGGGGACCAUCCUCCAAGGCUAAAUACUCCUGACUGACCGAUAGUGAACCAGUACCGUGAGGGAAAGGCGAAAAGAACCCCGGCGAGGGGAGUGAAAAAGAACCUGAAACCGUGUACGUACAAGCAGUGGGAGCCUCUUAAUGGGGUGACUGCGUACCUUUUGUAUAAUGGGUCAGCGACUUAUAUUCUGUAGCAAGGUUAACCGAAUAGGGGAGCCGAAGGGAAACCGAGUCUUAACUGGGCGUUAAGUUGCAGGGUAUAGACCCGAAACCCGGUGAUCUAGCCAUGGGCAGGUUGAAGGUUGGGUAACACUAACUGGAGGACCGAACCGACUAAUGUUGAAAAAUUAGCGGAUGACUUGUGGCUGGGGGUGAAAGGCCAAUCAAACCGGGAGAUAGCUGGUUCUCCCCGAAAGCUAUUUAGGUAGCGCCUCGUGAAUUCAUCUCCGGGGGUAGAGCACUGUUUCGGCAAGGGGGUCAUCCCGACUUACCAACCCGAUGCAAACUGCGAAUACCGGAGAAUGUUAUCACGGGAGACACACGGCGGGUGCUAACGUCCGUCGUGAAGAGGGAAACAACCCAGACCGCCAGCUAAGGUCCCAAAGUCAUGGUUAAGUGGGAAACGAUGUGGGAAGGCCCAGACAGCCAGGAUGUUGGCUUAGAAGCAGCCAUCAUUUAAAGAAAGCGUAAUAGCUCACUGGUCGAGUCGGCCUGCGCGGAAGAUGUAACGGGGCUAAACCAUGCACCGAAGCUGCGGCAGCGACACUAUGUGUUGUUGGGUAGGGGAGCGUUCUGUAAGCCUGUGAAGGUGGCCUGUGAGGGUUGCUGGAGGUAUCAGAAGUGCGAAUGCUGACAUAAGUAACGAUAAAGCGGGUGAAAAGCCCGCUCGCCGGAAGACCAAGGGUUCCUGUCCAACGUUAAUCGGGGCAGGGUGAGUCGACCCCUAAGGCGAGGCCGAAAGGCGUAGUCGAUGGGAAACAGGUUAAUAUUCCUGUACUUGGUGUUACUGCGAAGGGGGGACGGAGAAGGCUAUGUUGGCCGGGCGACGGUUGUCCCGGUUUAAGCGUGUAGGCUGGUUUUCCAGGCAAAUCCGGAAAACCAAGGCUGAGGCGUGAUGACGAGGCACUACGGUGCUGAAGCGACAAAUGCCCUGCUUCCAGGAAAAGCCUCUAAGCAUCAGGUAACAUCAAAUCGUACCCCAAACCGACACAGGUGGUCAGGUAGAGAAUACCAAGGCGCUUGAGAGAACUCGGGUGAAGGAACUAGGCAAAAUGGUGCCGUAACUUCGGGAGAAGGCACGCUGAUAUGUAGGUGAAGCGACUUGCUCGUGGAGCUGAAAUCAGUCGAAGAUACCAGCUGGCUGCAACUGUUUAUUAAAAACACAGCACUGUGCAAACACGAAAGUGGACGUAUACGGUGUGACGCCUGCCCGGUGCCGGAAGGUUAAUUGAUGGGGUUAGCGGCAACGCGAAGCUCUUGAUCGAAGCCCCGGUAAACGGCGGCCGUAACUAUAACGGUCCUAAGGUAGCGAAAUUCCUUGUCGGGUAAGUUCCGACCUGCACGAAUGGCGUAAUGAUGGCCAGGCUGUCUCCACCCGAGACUCAGUGAAAUUGAACUCGCUGUGAAGAUGCAGUGUACCCGCGGCAAGACGGAAAGACCCCGUGAACCUUUACUAUAGCUUGACACUGAACAUUGAGCCUUGAUGUGUAGGAUAGGUGGGAGGCUUUGAAGUGUGGACGCCAGUCUGCAUGGAGCCGACCUUGAAAUACCACCCUUUAAUGUUUGAUGUUCUAACGUUGGCCCGUAAUCCGGGUUGCGGACAGUGUCUGGUGGGUAGUUUGACUGGGGCGGUCUCCUCCUAAAGAGUAACGGAGGAGCACGAAGGUUGGCUAAUCCUGGUCGGACAUCAGGAGGUUAGUGCAAUGGCAUAAGCCAGCUUGACUGCGAGCGUGACGGCGCGAGCAGGUGCGAAAGCAGGUCAUAGUGAUCCGGUGGUUCUGAAUGGAAGGGCCAUCGCUCAACGGAUAAAAGGUACUCCGGGGAUAACAGGCUGAUACCGCCCAAGAGUUCAUAUCGACGGCGGUGUUUGGCACCUCGAUGUCGGCUCAUCACAUCCUGGGGCUGAAGUAGGUCCCAAGGGUAUGGCUGUUCGCCAUUUAAAGUGGUACGCGAGCUGGGUUUAGAACGUCGUGAGACAGUUCGGUCCCUAUCUGCCGUGGGCGCUGGAGAACUGAGGGGGGCUGCUCCUAGUACGAGAGGACCGGAGUGGACGCAUCACUGGUGUUCGGGUUGUCAUGCCAAUGGCACUGCCCGGUAGCUAAAUGCGGAAGAGAUAAGUGCUGAAAGCAUCUAAGCACGAAACUUGCCCCGAGAUGAGUUCUCCCUGAGACUUAGAGUCUCCUGAAGGAACGUUGAAGACGACGACGUUGAUAGGCCGGGUGUGUAAGCGCAGCGAUGCGUUGAGCUAACCGGUACUAAUGAACCGUGAGGCUUAACC